This 506-nucleotide ribosomal RNA is filed under the name uncultured bacterium. RNAcentral's name for it is "partial 16S ribosomal RNA". It matches the Rfam family "Bacterial small subunit ribosomal RNA", at positions 30 to 523 of the family's 1533-position model. The record is from RNAcentral.
AUUGAACGCUGGCGGCAGGCCUAACACAUGCAAGUCGGACGGUAGCACAGGGGAGCUUGCUCCCCGGGUGACGAGUGGCGGACGGGUGAGUAAUGUCUGGGAAACUGCCUGAUGGAGGGGGAUAACUACUGGAAACGGUAGCUAAUACCGCAUAACGUCGCAAGACCAAAGAGGGGGACCUUCGGGCCUCUUGUCAUCAGAUGUGCCCAGAUGGGAUUAGCUAGUAGGUGGGGUAACGGCUCACCUAGGCGACGAUCCCUAGCUGGUCUGAGAGGAUGGCCAGCCACACUGGAACUGAGACACGGUCCAGACUCCUACGGGAGGCAGCAGUGGGGAAUAUUGCACAAUGGGCGCAAGCCUGAUGCAGCCAUGCCGCGUGUAUGAAGAAGGCCUUCGGGUUGUAAAGUACUUUCAGCGGGGAGGAAGGUGUUGUGGUUAAUAACCACAGCAAUUGACGUUACCCGCAGAAGAAGCACCGGCUAACUCCGUGCCAGCAGCCGCCGCCG